Molecule: long non-coding RNA, 740 nt
Filed under: Lupinus angustifolius (narrow-leaved blue lupine)
Lineage: Eukaryota; Viridiplantae; Streptophyta; Magnoliopsida; Fabales; Fabaceae
Description: long non-coding RNA (LANG_LNC002191)
Source: RNAcentral
UCCUAUUUUAAAAGGGGAAGCCAAAUGGGUUUGGGUGGUGUUCGAAAGGCCAUGUGGCACGCUGAGAGUGGCACACGGGUACGAGUAUGGAUUGUGCCUUUUGUGAAAAAAUCAUACCAUUUUGUGUUUCUAAUGAACGAUUCAGAUUAUAGCUCCUCCUUUUCUUUAUUUGCUUAAUUUGUUUUCUAGAUGCCAAAUUGAACUCUAGUGUUUCUUUGUGAGUUUUAGGGAGAUGCACUCUCCUUUCUCUCUUGGAGGUAUUCAUCGAUGGAUGAGCUCGUGUUGGUGGUCAUGGUGGCACUAAUUUGCCUUUCUCUUCCACAUUUCUCUUGCUGUAAUUGAGUGCCGAUGAUAGGGAUGACAAAGAGAUGGUGGUUCUCGAUGAAGAUGCACUACUCGUCAAUUGUGAUGACGGAGAGGGAGAAGAUGUCAUGUCCUAUUUUUUUCUGAUUUUUUUGCUUAUGAAGGUGUUAUAUGUGAAGUAAGAAUGGUGAGUGGAUAAGAAUAUUUGUCCAGCAAAGAGAUUUGUAACAGGAACAUGAGGUUGUAAUGGUUUUGAGAGAGUGAUUGAGAUGGAGUAAUAGGAAGUUGAUGUGAGUGUAGAUAAUGUGAUUGUAAAGGUGGUUGAUUAAAAGAAAGAUAUGGUGAGUAACAUGGUUGUCGUGGUGGUUCUAGUCGUGGGUGUGUUGGCCAAUAUAGAAAUGAUCGAAAAUGAGACUAGGGCUAUGAGAUAUGAUGAG